RNAcentral lists this ribosomal RNA (203 nucleotides) under uncultured bacterium. RNAcentral describes it as "partial 16S ribosomal RNA". It matches the Rfam family "Bacterial small subunit ribosomal RNA", at positions 1281 to 1500 of the family's 1533-position model. The record is from RNAcentral.
GCCGGUCCCAGUUCGGAUAAGAGGCUGAAACUCGCCUCUUUGAAGUCGGAAUCGCUAGUAAUCGCAGAUCAGCAUGUUGCGGUGAAUACGUUUCCUGGUCUUGUACACACCGCCCGUCAAACCAUGAGAGUCGCCAACACCCGAAGUCCGCUUUGCGGCCUAAGGUGGGGGAGAUGAUUGGGGUUAAGUCGUAACAAGGUAUC